Molecule: ribosomal RNA, 231 nt
Filed under: uncultured bacterium
Lineage: Bacteria
Description: partial 16S ribosomal RNA
Rfam family: Bacterial small subunit ribosomal RNA
Source: RNAcentral
CGGGUGAGUAACACGUAUCCAACCUGCCGUCUACUCUUGGACAGCCUUCUGAAAGGAAGAUUAAUACAAGAUGGCAUCAUGAGUCCGCAUGUUCACAUGAUUAAAGGUAUUCCGGUAGACGAUGGGGAUGCGUUCCAUUAGAUAGUAGGCGCGGUAACGGCCCACCUAGUCUUCGAUGGAUAGGGGUUCUGAGAGGAAGGUCCCCCACAUUGGAACUGAGACACGGUCCAA